UGGUGGGUAGUUUGACUGGGGCGGUCUCCUCCCAAAGAGUAACGGAGGAGCACGAAGGUUAGCUAAUCCUGGUCGGACAUCAGGAGGUUAGUGCAAUGGCAUAAGCUAGCUUGACUGCGAGAGUGACGGCUCGAGCAGGUGCGAAAGCAGGUCAUAGUGAUCCGGUGGUUCUGAAUGGAAGGGCCAUCGCUCAACGGAUAAAAGGUACUCCGGGGAUAACAGGCUGAUACCGCCCAAGAGUUCAUAUCGACGGCGGUGUUUGGCACCUCGAUGUCGGCUCAUCACAUCCUGGGGCUGAAGUAGGUCCCAAGGGUAUGGCUGUUCGCCAUUUAAAGUGGUACGCGAGCUGGGUUUAGAACGUCGUGAGACAGUUCGGUCCCUAUCUGCCGUGGGCGCUGGAGAAUUGAGGGGGGCUGCUCCUAGUACGAGAGGACCGGAGUGGACGCAUCACUGGUGUUCGGGUUGUCAUGCCAAUGGCACUGCCCGGUAGCUAAAUGCGGAAGAGAUAAGUGCUGAAAGCAUCUAAGCACGAAACUUGCCCCGAGAUGAGUUCUCCCUGAGACUUUAAGUCUCCUGAAGGAACGUUGAAGACGACGACGUUGAUAGGCCGGGUGUGUAAGCGCAGCGAU
Molecule: ribosomal RNA, 629 nt
Filed under: Enterobacter bugandensis
Lineage: Bacteria; Pseudomonadati; Pseudomonadota; Gammaproteobacteria; Enterobacterales; Enterobacteriaceae
Description: partial 23S ribosomal RNA
Rfam family: Bacterial large subunit ribosomal RNA
Source: RNAcentral